UACGUAGGGUGCAAGCGUUGUCCGGAAUUAUUGGGCGUAAAGAGCUCGUAGGCGGUCUGUCGCGUCUGCUGUGAAAAUCCAGGGCUCAACCCUGGACCUGCAGUGGGUACGGGCAGACUAGAGUGCGGUAGGGGAGAUCGGAAUUCCUGGUGUAGCGGUGAAAUGCGCAGAUAUCAGGAGGAACACCUACUGCGAAGGCAGCUCGCUGGGACGUAACUGACGCUGAGACGCGAAAGCGUGGGGAGCAAACAGG
Molecule: ribosomal RNA, 253 nt
Filed under: uncultured bacterium
Lineage: Bacteria
Description: partial 16S ribosomal RNA
Rfam family: Bacterial small subunit ribosomal RNA
Source: RNAcentral